GACGAACGCUGGCGGCGUGCCUAAUACAUGCAAGUCGAACGCAGUGGGGACGGGUGAGUAACACGUGGGUAACCUCCCAUCAGAGGGGAUAACACUUGGAAACAGGUGCUAAACCGAUACUGAUGGACGGACCCGCGGUGCAUUAGCUCGGUGGUGGGGUCACGGCUCACCAAGGCCACGAUGACUAGCGUACCUGAGAGGGUGAUCGGCCACACUGGAACUUAGACACGGCCCAGACUCCUACGGGAGGCAGCAGUAGGGAAUCUUGGACAAUGGACGAAAGGCUGACCGAGCAACGCCGCGUGAGUGAAGAAGGUUUUCGGAUUGGAAAACUCUUUUGUGAGGGAAGCGUUAUCUAACGAGGAAGCAACGGCUAACUACGUGCCAGCAGCCGCGGUAAUAC
Molecule: ribosomal RNA, 403 nt
Filed under: uncultured bacterium
Lineage: Bacteria
Description: partial 16S ribosomal RNA
Rfam family: Bacterial small subunit ribosomal RNA
Source: RNAcentral